This 721-nucleotide long non-coding RNA is filed under the name Homo sapiens (human). RNAcentral's name for it is "HSALNT0301082". The record is from RNAcentral. Lineage: Eukaryota; Metazoa; Chordata; Mammalia; Primates; Hominidae.
GAGAAUUUCAGGCGGAAGGAACCAUAAAUGUAAGGCCCAUUGGUUGGCUUAAGGGUAGUGUGUUCUAUCUGCAAAAGGCGACCUCCCUGAUUAGAUCAUCACAAGUGAUGGGGGAAGGUGGGAAGACUCCAAGAAAAAAAGUAGGUGGUACAGACUGGACAUAAUUGUUAAGAGGAAGAAAGAAGAGAAGGAAUAGAAUCAAACCAGAGAGAUAAAUUGACCGAGGUCCAGAAGUGUCCAGAAGUACCUAUAACUAUUUAGUUAAUAGGUACUUCUAAAACUCAAGUCUCCAAACCCCAAUCUCAGUGUUUGUCUUGUAGCAAACAAGUUUCAUCCUCAAAUUUGCAUUCUUGAACACAUGUUUUCACGUCCGUCAAGUACACAAACAUGAAUUCUUGCUCAACCAUCCAAUUAUCUAAUCUGCUCCCUUUACUCAGAAUAAAGACUUGCUGGCAGAGGCUAUGAGGGUCUGCUCAAUGCUCAUGUCAGUCAUUCUACAGUAGCUUCAGCUGCCUCAAACUUGCAAGUGACAGUCUGUAAAACAGCACCAUUCAAACCCACCAGAGAAAUGACGCGCAUUAAGGAUGCAAACUGGAAUGACAACAUGAAAUUACAGUUAACAUUUAGUGACUAUAUAUGCAUAUUACAAUAACUCAGCAUUUCAAAAGUAGGUAUUUAUCUGAUGUUUCUGUCAUGUUAAUAAACAAUUUUGUCCAAAGGA